CCGGGGCCGCACGCGCGCCACAUUGAAGGAAUCAGCGUGUGCUUUCCCGGUCCGACAGGAUUGGGUAACCCGUUGAACCUCCUUCGUUCUGGGGAUAGAACCUUGUAAUUAGUUCUUGAACGAGGAAUGCCCAGUAAGCACGAGUCAUCAGCUCGUGUUGAUUACGUCCCUGCCCUUUGCACACACCGCCCGUCGCUACUACCGAUUGAAUGAUUAAGUGAGGUCUUCGGACUGGCUGUUUGGUUGGCCUUCGGGUCGAUCGAAUGUGCCGGAAAGAUGACCAAACUUGAUCACUUAGAGAUAGUAAAAGUCGUAACAAGGUUGCC
Molecule: ribosomal RNA, 326 nt
Filed under: Mysmena sp. MYSM-010-MEX
Lineage: Eukaryota; Metazoa; Arthropoda; Arachnida; Araneae; Mysmenidae
Description: bacterial SSU rRNA
Rfam family: Eukaryotic small subunit ribosomal RNA
Source: RNAcentral